UUUCCGACUUUAUGUCGGAACGGACUUACAUAACACUGGAAAGUUCUAAUAUAUUUAAUAUAUGAGAACAGGUUUAUGUUUGUAAUACGCCAACGCCUUAACUUUAAUUAAAGAAAGGCGAAGAUAUAGUCUGCACUCCUAGAAAUAGGGGA
Molecule: non-coding RNA, 152 nt
Filed under: Candidatus Nomurabacteria bacterium GW2011_GWF1_31_48
Lineage: Bacteria; Candidatus Nomuraibacteriota
Source: RNAcentral